Molecule: ribosomal RNA, 741 nt
Filed under: uncultured Enterobacterales bacterium
Lineage: Bacteria; Pseudomonadati; Pseudomonadota; Gammaproteobacteria; Enterobacterales
Description: bacterial SSU rRNA
Rfam family: Bacterial small subunit ribosomal RNA
Source: RNAcentral
CAGGCCUAACACAUGCAAGUCGAACGGUAGCACAGAGAGCUUGCUCUCGGGUGACGAGUGGCGGACGGGUGAGUAAUGUCUGGGAAACUGCCUGAUGGAGGGGGAUAACUACUGGAAACGGUAGCUAAUACCGCAUAACGUCGCAAGACCAAAGAGGGGGACCUUCGGGCCUCUUGCCAUCAGAUGUGCCCAGAUGGGAUUAGCUAGUAGGUGGGGUAACGGCUCACCUAGGCGACGAUCCCUAGCUGGUCUGAGAGGAUGACCAGCCACACUGGAACUGAGACACGGUCCAGACUCCUACGGGAGGCAGCAGUGGGGAAUAUUGCACAAUGGGCGCAAGCCUGAUGCAGCCAUGCCGCGUGUAUGAAGAAGGCCUUCGGGUUGUAAAGUACUUUCAGCGGGGAGGAAGGUGUUGCGGUUAAUAACCGCAGCAAUUGACGUUACCCGCAGAAGAAGCACCGGCUAACUCCGUGCCAGCAGCCGCGGUAAUACGGAGGGUGCAAGCGUUAAUCGGAAUUACUGGGCGUAAAGCGCACGCAGGCGGUCUGUCAAGUCGGAUGUGAAAUCCCCGGGCUCAACCUGGGAACUGCAUUCGAAACUGGCAGGCUAGAGUCUUGUAGAGGGGGGUAGAAUUCCAGGUGUAGCGGUGAAAUGCGUAGAGAUCUGGAGGAAUACCGGUGGCGAAGGCGGCCCCCUGGACAAAGACUGACGCUCAGGUGCGAAAGCGUGGGAGCAAACAGG